CUAUGGUAAUUCUGUUUAGUACGGGAGGAACCGCAGGUUCAGACAUUUGGUGCCUGGCCGAAAGGCCAAUGGUGCGAAGCUACCAUCUGAGAGAUUACGACUGAACGCCUCCAAGUCUGAAUCCCGUCCAGAUAG
Molecule: non-coding RNA, 135 nt
Filed under: Opisthorchis viverrini
Lineage: Eukaryota; Metazoa; Platyhelminthes; Trematoda; Opisthorchiida; Opisthorchiidae
Description: Eukaryotic large subunit ribosomal RNA
Rfam family: Eukaryotic large subunit ribosomal RNA
Source: Rfam by way of RNAcentral